RNAcentral lists this ribosomal RNA (433 nucleotides) under uncultured bacterium. RNAcentral's name for it is "partial 16S ribosomal RNA". It matches the Rfam family "Bacterial small subunit ribosomal RNA", at positions 29 to 507 of the family's 1533-position model. The record is from RNAcentral.
AACGAACGAUGGCGGCAUGCCUAACACAUGCAAGUCGAACGAGACCUUCGGGUCUAGUGGCGCACGGGUGCGUAACGCGUGGGAACCUGCCCUUAGGUUCGGAAUAACUCCCCGAAAGGGGUGCUAAUACCGGAUAAUGUCUUCGGACCAAAGAUUUAUCGCCUUUGGAUGGGCCCGCGUUGGAUUAGCUAGUUGGUAGGGUAAAAGCCUACCAAGGCGACGAUCCAUAGCUGGUCUGAGAGGAUGAUCAGCCACACUGGGACUGAGACACGGCCCAGACUCCUACGGGAGGAAGCAGUGGGGAAUAUUGGACAAUGGGCGAAAGCCUGAUCCAGCAAUGCCGCGUGAGUGAUGAAGGCCUUAGGGUUGUAAAGCUCUUUUACCCGGGAUGAUAAUGACAGUACCGGGAGAAUAAGCGCCGGCUAACUCCGUG